AUGGUAGGAGCUUUCAUAACUAUUAGUUCAAUGAUCAUCGUGGCUGAUUGGAAUAUAGCAUUGAAAAAAGAUCAGCCUUUUGCUUUUAUUGUUUUCUGUUUAAGCAACCAAGAGCUGAAAACUAUGGUAUUGAAGCAUUCACGAGAAAUGGAUUCAAAUCUUGGAAGGAUGGACCUAAAGUUUUUAAUCAACAUGUUGGCAAGCAUGAUAGUGCUCAUAAUAAAUCUAGGCAACAUUAUGAGGAUUUCAAAAAUCAAAGACAAAAUCUGCCACAUGUCUUUGAUAGGGGUUCUCAGAAGCAAGAAGAAGAAUACAAAGCCCGUCUCUUGA
RNAcentral lists this ribosomal RNA (330 nucleotides) under Triticum aestivum (bread wheat). Its description in RNAcentral is "partial small subunit ribosomal RNA". The record is from RNAcentral. Lineage: Eukaryota; Viridiplantae; Streptophyta; Magnoliopsida; Poales; Poaceae.